Molecule: transfer RNA, 73 nt
Filed under: Nannocystis pusilla
Lineage: Bacteria; Pseudomonadati; Myxococcota; Nannocystales; Nannocystaceae
Also listed under: 3 other names
Description: tRNA-Thr
Rfam family: tRNA
About the family: Transfer RNA (tRNA) molecules are approximately 80 nucleotides in length. Their secondary structure includes four short double-helical elements and three loops (D, anti-codon, and T loops). Further hydrogen bonds mediate the characteristic L-shaped molecular structure. tRNAs have two regions of fundamental functional importance: the anti-codon, which is responsible for specific mRNA codon recognition, and the 3' end, to which the tRNAs corresponding amino acid is attached (by aminoacyl-tRNA synthetases). tRNAs cope with the degeneracy of the genetic code in two manners: having more than one tRNA (with a specific anti-codon) for a particular amino acid; and 'wobble' base-pairing, i.e. permitting non-standard base-pairing at the 3rd anti-codon position.
Source: RNAcentral
GCCCAUGUAGCUCAGUUGGUAGAGCACAUCCUUGGUAAGGAUGAGGUCGGCGGUUCGAGUCCGCCCAUGGGCU